This 981-nucleotide ribosomal RNA is filed under the name Trametes sp. Its description in RNAcentral is "partial large subunit ribosomal RNA". It matches the Rfam family "Eukaryotic large subunit ribosomal RNA", at positions 17 to 979 of the family's 3401-position model. Lineage: Eukaryota; Fungi; Basidiomycota; Agaricomycetes; Polyporales; Polyporaceae. The record is from RNAcentral.
GGGGGGUUACCCGGUGAAAACUUAGCAUAUCAAUAAGCGGAGGAAAAGAAACUAACAAGGAUUCCCCUAGUAACUGCGAGUGAAGCGGGAAAAGCUCAAAUUUAAAAUCUGGCGGUCUUUGGCCGUCCGAGUUGUAGUCUGGAGAAGCGUCUUCCGCGCUGGACCGUGUAUAAGUCUCUUGGAACAGAGCGUCAUAGAGGGUGAGAAUCCCGUCUUUGACACGGACUACCAGUGCUUUGUGAUGCGCUCUCAAAGAGUCGAGUUGUUUGGGAAUGCAGCUCAAAAUGGGUGGUGAAUUCCAUCUAAAGCUAAAUAUUGGCGAGAGACCGAUAGCGAACAAGUACCGUGAGGGAAAGAUGAAAAGCACUUUGGAAAGAGAGUUAAACAGUACGUGAAAUUGCUGAAAGGGAAACGCUUGAAGUCAGUCGCGUUGUCCGGGACUCAGCCUUGCUUCGGCUUGGUGCACUUUCCGGAUGACGGGCCAGCAUCGAUUUUGACCGCCGGAAAAGGGCUGGAGGAAUGUGGCACCUUCGGGUGUGUUAUAGCCUCCAGUCGCAUACGGCGGUUGGGAUCGAGGAACGCAGCACGCCUUAUGGCGGGGGGUUUACCCUACCUCCGUGCUUAGGAUGCUGGCAUAAUGGCUUUAAACGACCCGUCUUGAAACACGGACCAAGGAGUCUAACAUGCCUGCGAGUGUUUGGGUGGAAAACCCGAGCGCGUAAUGAAAGUGAAAGUUGAGACCUCUGUCGUGGAGGGCAUCGACGCCCGGACCUGACGUUCUCUGACGGAUCCGCGGUAGAGCAUGUAUGUUGGGACCCGAAAGAUGGUGAACUAUGCCUGAAUAGGGUGAAGCCAGAGGAAACUCUGGUGGAGGCUCGUAGCGAUUCUGACGUGCAAAUCGAUCGUCAAAUUUGGGUAUAGGGGCGAAAGACUAAUCGAACCAUCCCCGAGCUGGUUCCUGCCGAAGUUUCCCCUCAGGAA